CCCUUAGAUGUUCUGGGCUGCACGCGUGCUACAAUGGCGCUUGCAACAAGUCUUGCCAACCCGAUAGGGUGAGCGGAUCUUUGAAGAGGCGUCGUGAUCGGGACAGUUGAUCGCAAUUAUUCGACUCGAACGAGGAAUUCCUUGUAAUCGCGAUUCAUCAUAUCGCGCUGAAUACGUCCCUGCCCUUUGUACACACCGCCCGUCGCUCCUACCGAUUGAGCGAUCCGGUGAAUGUUUUGGACUGGCGUCAGAAGCGGUUCGCUCCUGACACUACGAAAUUUUGUAAACCUUAUCGCUUAGAGGAAGGAAAAGUCGUAACA
This 320-nucleotide ribosomal RNA is filed under the name uncultured eukaryote. RNAcentral's name for it is "partial 18S ribosomal RNA". It matches the Rfam family "Eukaryotic small subunit ribosomal RNA", at positions 1470 to 1796 of the family's 1831-position model. The record is from RNAcentral.